Long non-coding RNA from Esox lucius (northern pike), 335 nucleotides. Lineage: Eukaryota; Metazoa; Chordata; Actinopteri; Esociformes; Esocidae. The record is from Ensembl.
AAAUUGUCACUUGCCACCAGCCAAAAGUGGGAAAAUGUUUGCAGUGGCAGAGUCUGUAAGCCAUCUGGCCUGAGCUGACGUACAGACGAAAGGAAAAUUGCCCCACAGUUGGUGUAGACGGAACACCAGGGGCAGAGUGCAUGAUCAGGAUGAGGGUUCUCUUCAGAAACAUCCAGCACAGACCUUUUGAUGUGCAAAGUGGAUGAGCAGACCAGACCAAGAAGGCCAGGGUUUUUAUGCACUACAUUGCUGAUGUGUAAGGAGGCCUGGGAUUGCAACAAGCUGGCUCACUAUUCUAGGACCUCAAAGUUCUUCUGUACUCAACACAAAAUGUC